GUAUGUUUUCACAGCCUCAGCCCCCCCCCCCACACACACACACAAACAAAGAGGCGUUAGGCUGAGACGCUGAAAGUCCGGAUUUAAAGUGCAGAAAAUUAAGCCAUUGAAUCUGCCUGUCCAUGACGUACAAAGACACACUAUGAGCCGGUAUGAUCCGACCAGACCUUACAUCAGCAUUGAGGAGUUGUCGGAGAAGAAAGAGGCUGAUUGAAGCGGGACAGAUGACAUGGAUCCAUCCUUCCACAGCCAGGAGUGCACCGACCUGUGUCCCACACUUCAUAUAAGACUGGAAGCUACACUGGAUCUCACAGCUACACACCACAGACGUCUACACACUGGAGAAGAGUCCCACAAAGAAGUCAUGACCCAGAGGCUGCAGAGAAACAUUUCAAGCCUCACCUGAGAUUUUGUACAAUAUUUUUGCUGUAUGUAAAUAAAGCUUUCACUCCACAUA
Limanda limanda (common dab) is the source of this 457-nucleotide long non-coding RNA. RefSeq lists it as uncharacterized. NCBI's taxonomy places the organism in Eukaryota, Metazoa, Chordata, Actinopteri, Pleuronectiformes, Pleuronectidae. The transcript is spliced from 3 exons. The record is from RefSeq and is a predicted model, not a curated record.